CAACCCUCAAGCUCUGCUUGGUAUUGGGUGCCGUCCCCCGGGGCGCACCUCAAAAACAGUGGCGGCGCCGUCCGGCUUCAAGCGUAGUAAUUCUUCUCGCUCUGGAGGACCGGCCGGUUGCUUGCCAGCAACCCCAAUUUUUUACU
RNAcentral lists this unclassified non-coding RNA (146 nucleotides) under uncultured Leotiomycetes. RNAcentral describes it as "sequence contains ITS2". Lineage: Eukaryota; Fungi; Ascomycota; Leotiomycetes. The record is from RNAcentral.